RNAcentral lists this ribosomal RNA (478 nucleotides) under uncultured bacterium. RNAcentral describes it as "partial 16S ribosomal RNA". It matches the Rfam family "Bacterial small subunit ribosomal RNA", at positions 28 to 523 of the family's 1533-position model. The record is from RNAcentral.
GACGAACGCUGGCGGCGUGCUUAACACGUGCAAGUCGAACGGUAAGGCCCUUCGGGGUACACGAGUGGCGAACGGGUGAGUAACACGUGGGUGAUCUGCCCUGCACUUCGGGAUAAGCCUGGGAAACUGGGUCUAAUACCGGAUAGGACCACUGCCUGCAUGGGUGGUGGUGGAAAGCUUUUGCGGUGUGGGAUGGGCCCGCGGCCUAUCAGCUUGUUGGUGGGGUGAUGGCCUACCAAGGCGACGACGGGUAGCCGGUCUGAGAGGGUGACCGGCCACACUGGGACUGAGAUACGGCCCAGACUCCUACGGGAGGCAGCAGUGGGGAAUAUUGCACAAUGGGCGCAAGCCUGAUGCAGCGACGCCGCGUGAGGGAUGACGGCCUUCGGGUUGUAAACCUCUUUCAGCACCGACGAAGCGCAAGUGACGGUAGGUGCAGAAGAAGGACCGGCCAACUACGUGCCAGCCGCCGCAGUAA